ACGCUUGCGGCUCGGCGAGUUGUAGUUUGCGAGAAGCACUUUCUCGGCGGAUCGGUGGCGCCCAAGUUGCUUGGAACAGUACGUCGCAGAGGGUGACAACCCCGUCCGUGGCACGUCGCCGGCCGCUCACGAUGUGCUUUCGAAGAGUCGGGUUGUUUGGGAAUGCAGCCCAAAACUGGUGGUAAACUCCAUCUAAAGCUAAAUAUUGACGUGAGACCGAUAGCGAACAAGUACCGUGAGGGAAAGUU
This 248-nucleotide ribosomal RNA is filed under the name Fungiacyathus marenzelleri. Its description in RNAcentral is "partial 28S ribosomal RNA". It matches the Rfam family "Eukaryotic large subunit ribosomal RNA", at positions 124 to 365 of the family's 3401-position model. The record is from RNAcentral. Lineage: Eukaryota; Metazoa; Cnidaria; Anthozoa; Scleractinia; Fungiacyathidae.